GAUAAACGCUUGCGGCAGACCUAAUACAUGCAAGUCGUGGGGUAACAGAGAACUUCGGUUCUGCUGACGACCGGCAAACGGGUGAGUAACACGUAUGAAACUUACCUACGACUGAGGAAUAACUCAUGGAAACAUGUAGCUAAUACCUCAUAUUACAAUAUUAUCACAUGUUGAAAUUGUAAAAGACUUCGGUCGGUUGUAGAUAGUCAUGCGCUCUAUUAGCUUGUUGGUGAGGUAACAGCUCACCAAGGCAACGAUAGAUAGGGGGUUUGAGAGAAUGAUCCUCCACACUGGUACUGAGACACGGGACCAGACUCCUACGGGAGGCAGCAGUAAGGAAUAUUCGGCAAUGGGCGAAAGCCUGACCGAGUCAUGCCGCGUGUGGGAAGACGGCCUUCGGGUUGUAAACCACUUUUAUACAGAAAUAACGAGGUUACGUGUAACCAAAGUGAAGGUACUGUAAGAAUAAGCACCGGCUAACUCCGUGCCAGCAGCCGC
RNAcentral lists this ribosomal RNA (498 nucleotides) under uncultured bacterium. Its description in RNAcentral is "bacterial SSU rRNA". It matches the Rfam family "Bacterial small subunit ribosomal RNA", at positions 28 to 518 of the family's 1533-position model. The record is from RNAcentral.